Molecule: long non-coding RNA, 410 nt
Filed under: Gallus gallus (chicken)
Lineage: Eukaryota; Metazoa; Chordata; Aves; Galliformes; Phasianidae
Source: RNAcentral
AACAAAACAAAACCUCAUUCAUUCUGAUGUCCCACAAAAUUCUUUUUCAAGUUAUUAAGACAGACAAUUAUUGCACGUAUUUCUCACAGCAGCAAGAACUUCCAGGCGGAGCAACGUCUCUUCCCAAAAUUGUCAUUCCCAUAAUUGCUUAUGUUAAAGCAGCAACAGUUCAUGAUGGAUUCAUCAGCACUUUACCAGUUCUUUGUUUGCCAAAGGUUCUGCAAUGACUUCAUCACGCAUGAACUGUUCCUGGUCGUAGAUGACGCGCAGGAUGAGGGAGCAGCUGGGGCAGGUGGCCACAUCCUCUCCGUUCUCCAGGUCCUCCCGCGUGAUGAGGAAGCGGUCCCCGCAGGGGCACGGGUAGCUGUACGUCUCCGUUUCCUCAUCGUACUCGAAGUCUUCGAUCUCCA